This 253-nucleotide ribosomal RNA is filed under the name uncultured bacterium. RNAcentral's name for it is "partial 16S ribosomal RNA". It matches the Rfam family "Bacterial small subunit ribosomal RNA", at positions 524 to 776 of the family's 1533-position model. The record is from RNAcentral.
UACGUAGGGGGCGAGCGUUGUCCGGAAUCAUUGGGCGUAAAGCGCGUGUAGGCGGCCCGGUAAGUCCGCUGUGAAAGUCCAGGGCUCAACCCUGGGAUGCCGGUGGAUACUGUCGGGCUCGAGUCCGGAAGAGGCGAGUGGAAUUCCUGGUGUAGCGGUGAAAUGCGCAGAUAUCAGGAGGAACACCAAUGGCGAAGGCAGCUCGCUGGGACGUGACUGACGCUGAGACGCGAAAGCGUGGGGAGCAAACAGG